This 460-nucleotide ribosomal RNA is filed under the name uncultured bacterium. Its description in RNAcentral is "partial 16S ribosomal RNA". It matches the Rfam family "Bacterial small subunit ribosomal RNA", at positions 28 to 507 of the family's 1533-position model. The record is from RNAcentral.
GACGAACGCUGGCGGCGUGCUUAACACAUGCAAGUCGAGCGGUAAGGCCUCUUCGGGGGUACACGAGCGGCGAACGGGUGAGUAACACGUGGGUGACCUGCCCUCAGCUCUGGGAUAAGCCUGGGAAACUGGGUCUAAUACCGGAUAUGACCUUUCCUCGCAUGGGGUUUGGUGGAAAGUUUUUUCGGCUGGGGAUGGGCCCGCGGCCUAUCAGCUUGUUGGUGGGGUGAUGGCCUACCAAGGCGACGACGGGUAGCCGGCCUGAGAGGGCGACCGGCCACACUGGGACUGAGACACGGCCCAGACUCCUACGGGAGGCAGCCGUGGGGAAUAUUGCGCAAUGGGCGGAAGCCUGACGCAGCGACGCCGCGUGGGGGAUGACGGCCUUCGGGUUGUAAACCUCUUUCGACCCCGACGAAUUUGGACGGCAGGGGGAGAAGAAGCACCGGCCAACUACGUG